AGCAGCCGCGGUAAUUCCAGCUCCAAUAGCGUAUAUUAAAGUUGUUGCAGUUAAAAAGCUCGUAGUUGAAUUUCGGGAUCAAGUCGUCGGUCGUGCUUAGGUACGUACUGGCGUCAUUGAUUUCUCCCUUCUGACGAACCAUGAUGUCAUUAAUUUGGUGUUAUGGGAAAUCAGGACUGUUACUUUGAAAAAAUUAGAGUGUUUAAAGCAGGCUCACGCUUGAAUACAUUAGCAUGGAAUAAUGAAAUAGGACGUUCGAUCCUAUUUUGUUGGUUUUAGGAUCAACGUAAUGAUUAAUAGGGAUAGUUGGGGGCAUUAGUAUUCAAUUGUCAGAGGUGAAAUUCUUGGAUUUAUUGAAGACUAACUACUGCGAAAGCAUUUGCCAAGGAUGUUUUCAUUAAUCAAGAACGAAAGUUAGGGGAUCGAAGACGAUCAGAUACCGUCGUAGUCUUAACCAUAAACUAUAGCCGACUAGGGAUCGGAUGAUGUUAAUUUUUAAUGACUCAUUCGGCGCCUUAC
RNAcentral lists this ribosomal RNA (519 nucleotides) under uncultured Glomus. RNAcentral describes it as "SSU rRNA". It matches the Rfam family "Eukaryotic small subunit ribosomal RNA", at positions 569 to 1091 of the family's 1831-position model. The record is from RNAcentral. Lineage: Eukaryota; Fungi; Glomeromycota; Glomeromycetes; Glomerales; Glomeraceae.